GUCUAUAGCCACACCAUUCUGAAUCUUGGAAGGUAAUCCCAUCUGAUCUUGGAAGGUAAGCAGGGUCAAGCUUGGUUCAUACUUGAAUGGGAAACCCCCUGGAAAUACUGAGUGCUGUUGGCU
Molecule: ribosomal RNA, 123 nt
Organism: Aotus nancymaae (Ma's night monkey)
Lineage: Eukaryota; Metazoa; Chordata; Mammalia; Primates; Aotidae
Source: Ensembl